ACCAACGGCUAGCUCUCUGCAACUCUCACAUGGUCACCCACUGAAGCUAAGCAGGGCUUCGCCUGGUCAGUACCUGGAUUGGAGACCACAAGGGAAAGCUAGGUUGCUGUCGGAA
RNAcentral lists this ribosomal RNA (115 nucleotides) under Danio rerio (zebrafish). The record is from RNAcentral. Lineage: Eukaryota; Metazoa; Chordata; Actinopteri; Cypriniformes; Danionidae.